This 499-nucleotide ribosomal RNA is filed under the name uncultured bacterium. Its description in RNAcentral is "partial 16S ribosomal RNA". It matches the Rfam family "Bacterial small subunit ribosomal RNA", at positions 28 to 507 of the family's 1533-position model. The record is from RNAcentral.
GACGAACGCUGGCGGCGUGCCUAAUACAUGCAAGUCGAGCGGACUUUCGAGAAGCUUGCUUUUUGAAUGUUAGCGGCGGACGGGUGAGUAACACGUGGGCAACCUGCCUGCAAGACGGGGAUAACUCCGGGAAACCGGAGCUAAUACCGGAUAAUAUCUUCCUUCGCAUGGAGGAAGGGUGAAAGGCGGCGCAAGCUUCCGCUUGCGGAUGAUCCGGGGUCGGAUUAGGUAGUUGGGGAGGUAACGGCUCACCAAGGCGACGAUGCCUAGCCGACCUGAGGGGGUGAGCCGGCAAACUUGGAACUGAACACGGCCCAAACUCCUACGGGGAGCAGGAGUAGGGAAACUUCCGGAAAUGGCGAAAGGCUGACGGAGCAACGCCGCGUGAGGGGAGAAGGUUCUCCGGUCGUAAAGCCCUUGUGUCAGGGAAGAACAAGAACCGUACGAAAAGGGCGGUAUCUUGACGGUACCUGAUCAGAAAGCCACGGCUAACUACGUG